Molecule: ribosomal RNA, 439 nt
Filed under: uncultured bacterium
Lineage: Bacteria
Description: bacterial SSU rRNA
Rfam family: Bacterial small subunit ribosomal RNA
Source: RNAcentral
GUGGGGAAUCUUGCGCAAUGGGCGAAAGCCUGACGCAGCGACGCCGCGUGGAGGAUGAAGGCCUUCGGGUUGUAAACUCCUGUCAGAGGUGAAGAAAGCCCCUUCGGGGGCGUGACGGUAACUUCAGAGGAAGCCCCGGCUAACUACGUGCCAGCAGCCGCGGUAAUACGUAGGGGGCAAACGUUGCUCGGAAUUACUGGGCGUAAAGGGUGCGUAGGUGGCUGAGCAAGUCGUGGAUGAAAUCCCGAGGCUUACCCUCGGAACUGUCUUCGAUACUGCUCAGCUUGAGGAUGGUUGAGGAGAACGGAAUUCCCGGUGGAGCGGUGAAAUGCGUAGAUAUCGGGAGGAACACCAGAGGCGAAGGCGGUUCUCUGGGCCAUUCCUGACACUGAGGCACGAAAGCUAGGGGAGCAAACGGGAUUAGAAACCCCUGUAGUCC